GCCGCAGUGGCUCAGUCGGUAGAGCGUGCCCAUGGUAAGGGCAAGGUCACGGGUUCGAUUCCCGUCUGUGGCU
This 73-nucleotide transfer RNA is filed under the name Patescibacteria group bacterium. Its description in RNAcentral is "tRNA-Thr". It matches the Rfam family "tRNA". Rfam says of the family: Transfer RNA (tRNA) molecules are approximately 80 nucleotides in length. Their secondary structure includes four short double-helical elements and three loops (D, anti-codon, and T loops). The record is from RNAcentral.